Long non-coding RNA from Mesocricetus auratus (golden hamster), 1226 nucleotides. RefSeq lists it as uncharacterized. The record is from RefSeq and is a predicted model, not a curated record. The transcript has 5 exons. Lineage: Eukaryota; Metazoa; Chordata; Mammalia; Rodentia; Cricetidae.
UCUGCCCAGGAGAGGCUGGCUUCGAUUCUCCGGGAUUAAUCCGAGACCGACGGAGUCCCACGGUCUGCGCGGCGACUGCGUCGUCAGCGACGCGAUCUGGACUCAGGCGCGCGUCCAGAUGGCUGUCAGCUGGACACCAGCAAGCCCUGUCCAUGGGUUCCGAAUGUCUAAUGAUAGUUGUAUCAUCCAGUUAAUUAGUGCUACUGCUACUGAACAGGACAUGCCACACAGGAGAAGUCAGAAUGGUCUCCAGGGAAAUCAGUUGAGUUUUCUCUUCAGCUGCACUGGUUCCCUCUUGCCAAAGAGUGGUUUGCUCCUUUGCAGGUUCCUAGCGUUAAACUCUGGUUCUCAGGCAUACCAGCGAAUGCCAUUAUUUCCUGAGCCAUCUUUCUGGACCUCAAGGUUAUUUUGAUCAGCAGCUAGGUAACAACACUCCUCACUGAGAAGAAAAAAGUGGGAAGAGGAGAGGAUUGGAAGAGGGAAUCAGAAAGGAAAACAUUUCUGCGAUUACUUUUUGAUCAUCACAUGGAUACAUUCAUACACAUUUAUACAUGCAUGCACAUGCUCUGGUGGAAACACACACACACACACACACACACACACACACACACACAAGAUGCACAAAAUCAUGAAGCCUGGACAUCUGCCAAGGUAAUGUCCCGGGAAGACACAUCAUCUGUGCCCUGCUGAUAAGCUGGCCUGUAUGCUGAAUGAUGACCUCACUUCCAUCCAACAAGACAUCCCUGAGAUGUUUCAGGAACAGACAAGAUCAGAAUGUAAACAAAACUUUGAAUGUUCAGGGAGCUACUAAGAGAAAAGACUACCAAGGCCUCUUUCACACUUACAUGAGCAGUAACAGUUGCUGAGGAGAUGGGAUUGUCCAAUCAGUUGAGCUUACCUGCGUGCUGUGAUUUGAGGAUGCAGUUUCACUCAAGCCUAGCUUAAUGGACAAAUAGGUUUAUUUUGAAUACUUUAAGGAGAUGGGUGAAGGUUUACUUACAGCCUUGUAUCAAAGGAAUAUGCACCAUUAAAAAAGCCCUGUCCAUGAUUGUUCCUGAGAACGGAAACCUUGCUGAGGACCCUAGAAGUGUCAGGGACUGGAAGACAAUAGAGGGACUGAUGGGGGAAGUCCUAUGUAUAUGUCAAUAAAGCACUGUUGGGCCAAUGGAGAACCAAGAUAGGUGGGACUAGGAGUCCAGGAGAACUCGGGGAAGGAGAAACACAGA